CCACAAUCCACCAGCUGCUGCUCCUAUUGUGGAGGAUGACGGACAGAUGCAUUACGCUGAACGACAAAUGCAACAGGUCACUCAGCGCCAGCUCGUCACGGUCACAGUCAGUGAUACAAACUCCGAGUAUGCGGCUGUCAAACACACAUAGUCACCUGGAUGUAUCGAUCGCUAUUGCUGCAGGCAACAGACUCUCUGAAAGCUAACGUGCCCUAUUUCUGAGCAGCGUUGAGGUGCACUGAGACCCUAUUAAACCUGAGAUUACAGGGCACUCGGACCAUCCCAGACCCUGAGAUUACUGGGCACUCAGACCCUCCCAGACCCUGAGAUUACAGGGCACUCAGACUCUC
Long non-coding RNA from Rhincodon typus (whale shark), 350 nucleotides. RefSeq lists it as uncharacterized. Lineage: Eukaryota; Metazoa; Chordata; Chondrichthyes; Orectolobiformes; Rhincodontidae. The transcript has 3 exons. The record is from RefSeq and is a predicted model, not a curated record.